AAGUUUUUGGUUGUCUCUCGAAAGAGUGACACUGCACACGAAACCGCGUUGGUUAGUUUCUGCCCUUAUAUAUCAAGGGUAUGUAUGCUCAGGUCGGUUUCGUGUGCUGCAUCUUUGACGCAUUCAUUUAUUGGUAACGCAUGAACCCCAUCGUAAUUAAUCGGCUUCAACGAAAGCUGGGCUACACUUUUG
RNAcentral lists this small RNA (192 nucleotides) under Klebsiella aerogenes. Its description in RNAcentral is "rncO". It matches the Rfam family "rncO". Rfam says of the family: This family represents a bacterial regulatory element (rncO) found in the rnc leader sequence. The rnc operon is negatively auto-regulated by transcript stability. rnc, the first gene in the operon codes for RNase III which cleaves the long rncO stem II leading to transcript degradation and a reduction in translation. Lineage: Bacteria; Pseudomonadati; Pseudomonadota; Gammaproteobacteria; Enterobacterales; Enterobacteriaceae. The record is from RNAcentral.